This 292-nucleotide ribosomal RNA is filed under the name uncultured bacterium. RNAcentral describes it as "partial 16S ribosomal RNA". It matches the Rfam family "Bacterial small subunit ribosomal RNA", at positions 505 to 796 of the family's 1533-position model. The record is from RNAcentral.
GUGCCAGCAGCCGCGGUAAUACAGAGGUCUCAAGCGUUAUUCGGAUUCAUUGGGCGUAAAGGGUGCGUAGGUGGCGAUGUAAGUCUGGUGUGAAAUCUCGGAGCUUAACUCCGAAACUGCAUUGGAUACUGCGUUGCUUGAGGAUUGUAGAGGAGAGUGGAAUUCACGGUGUAGCAGUGAAAUGCGUAGAUAUCGUGAGGAAGACCAGUUGCGAAGGCGACUCUCUGGGCAAUUCCUGACACUGAGGCACGAAGGCCAGGGGAGCAAACGGGAUUAGAUACCCCGGUAGUCC